AUUGAACGCUGGCGGCAUGCUUUACACAUGCAAGUCGAACGGUAACAGGGUGCUUGCACCGCUGACGAGUGGCGAAAGGGUGAGUAAUGCGUCGGAACGUGACGAGCAGUGGGGGAUAACGCAGCGAAAGUUGUGCUAAUACCGCAUACGUACUGAGGUAGAAAGUGGGGGACCUUCGGGCCUCACGCUAUUCGAGCGGCCGACGUCUGAUUAGCUAGUAGGUGAGGUAAAGGCUCACCUAGGCGACGAUCAGUAGCGGGUCUGAGAGGAUGAUCCGCCACACUGGGACUGAGACACGGCCCAGACUCCUACGGGAGGCAGCAGUGGGGAAUUUUGGACAAUGGGCGAAAGCCUGAUCCAGCCAUGCCGCGUGUCUGAAGAAGGCCUUCGGGUUGUAAAGGACUUUUGUCAGGGAGGAAAUCCCUAGUGCUAAUAACACUGGGGGAUGACAGUACCUGAAGAAUAAGCACCGGCUAACUACGUGCCAGCCGCCGCAGUAA
This 500-nucleotide ribosomal RNA is filed under the name uncultured bacterium. RNAcentral describes it as "partial 16S ribosomal RNA". It matches the Rfam family "Bacterial small subunit ribosomal RNA", at positions 30 to 523 of the family's 1533-position model. The record is from RNAcentral.